AGUAUACCUUAUCACAGGAUCAUCUAAAAAAUAUUAAUGUGAUUUACAUAAAGGUGCUAACAGCAAUGGGGACCUCAUUACCUUUGGGGAGACUGCCUGUUCUCCUAAAAGUGAAUUUAGAGAACUUACAGAC
This is a small nucleolar RNA of Erinaceus europaeus (western European hedgehog), 133 nucleotides long. Lineage: Eukaryota; Metazoa; Chordata; Mammalia; Eulipotyphla; Erinaceidae. The record is from Ensembl.